ACGCUGGCGGCGUGCCUAACACAUGCAAGUCGAACGGUAACAGGUCCUUCGGGACGCUGACGAGUGGCGCACGGGUGAGUAACGCGUGGAUAUCUGCCUAUUAGUGGGGGACAACUACGGGAAACCGUAGCUAAUACCGCAUAAGCUCUACGGAGGAAAGCAGGGGACCCCUCGGGGCCUUGCGCUGAUAGAUGAGUCCGCGUCUGAUUAGCUGGUUGGUAAGGUAAUGGCUUACCAAGGCGAUGAUCAGUAACUGGUUUGAGAGGAUGAUCAGUCACACUGGAACUGAGACACGGUCCAGACUCCUACGGGAGGCAGCAGUGGGGAAUAUUGCACAAUGGGCGAAAGCCUGAUGCAGCGACGCCGCGUGCGGGAAGAAGGCCUUCGGGUUGUAAACCGCUUUCAAUUGGGAAGAAGAGAUGAGGGCUAAUAUCCCUCUGAUUUGACGGUACCUUUAGAAGAAGCACCGGCUAAUUUCGUGCCAGCAGCCGCGGUAAUACGAAAGGUGCAAGCGUUGUUCGGAUUUACUGGGCGUAAAGAGAUCGUAGGUGGCUUGUUAAGUCGGAUGUGAAAUCCCGGGGCUCAACCCCGGAACUGCAUUCGAUACUGGCAGGCUAGAGUUUGGGAGGGGUAAGCGGAAUUCCGUGUGUAGCAGUGAAAUGCGUAGAUAUACGGAGGAACACCUGAGGCGAAGGCGGCUUACUGGGACCAAUACUGACACUGAGGAUCGAAAGCGUGGGUAGCAAACASGAUUAGAUACCCUGGUAGUCCACGCCCUAAACGAUGUCAACUAGCCGUUGCGGGUAUCGACCCCUGCAGUGGCGAAGCUAACGCGAUAAGUUGACCGCCUGGGGAGUACGGU
Molecule: ribosomal RNA, 862 nt
Filed under: uncultured Zetaproteobacteria bacterium
Lineage: Bacteria; Pseudomonadati; Pseudomonadota; Candidatius Mariprofundia
Description: bacterial SSU rRNA
Rfam family: Bacterial small subunit ribosomal RNA
Source: RNAcentral